This 381-nucleotide transfer-messenger RNA is filed under the name Bacteroidota bacterium. RNAcentral's name for it is "Bacteroidetes bacterium transfer-messenger RNA". It matches the Rfam family "transfer-messenger RNA". Rfam says of the family: Bacterial tmRNA, also known as 10Sa RNA or SsrA, is named for its dual tRNA and mRNA-like properties. Its role is to liberate the mRNA from a stalled ribosome. The record is from RNAcentral. Lineage: Bacteria; Pseudomonadati; Bacteroidota.
GGGGGCGUAUUGGAAUUGACAGGAAAGCGCACUACUUAGUAAGCAUGCCGGAGCACGAUUGUUCAUCUCCGUUAACAACUGACGAUCAACAACUUUAAAUGGCAAUACUCAGUAUGCCAUGGCUGCCUAAGACUAGGUCUUAGAAGCCAUUGUGCCCUUCGCUUGAUGCUCAAUACACAGCGAACCUGCACAUCAUCCAACCCUUUGAGCUAGCCUUUCGGCGCUGCCCGAACCGACAGGCGAAUCUUCAGGGCUAAGGCAUCCGUUGCGGUGGGUCUCCCAACCUUUCGGAUGCUCGAAAACCUUAAGAGGAGACUAAGCAUGUAGAAAGCUAUUUAGUACUUUCUCUGGACGGGGGUUCGACUCCCCCCGCCUCCACAA